RNAcentral lists this ribosomal RNA (497 nucleotides) under uncultured bacterium. RNAcentral describes it as "partial 16S ribosomal RNA". It matches the Rfam family "Bacterial small subunit ribosomal RNA", at positions 28 to 507 of the family's 1533-position model. The record is from RNAcentral.
GAUGAACGCUGGCGGCGUGCCUAAUACAUGCAAGUCGAGCGAACAGACGAGGAGCUUGCUCCUCUGAUGUUAGCGGCGGACGGGUGAGUAACACGUGGAUAACCUACCUAUAAGACUGGGAUAACUUCGGGAAACCGUAGCUAAUACCGGAUAAUAUUUUGAACCGCAUGGUUCAAUAGUGAAAGACGGUCUUGCUGUCACUUAUAGAUGGAUCCGCGCUGCAUUAGCUAGUUGGUAAGGUAACGGCUUACCAAGGCAACGAUGCAUAGCCGACCUGAGAGGGUGAUCGGCCACACUGGAACUGAGACACGGUCCAGACUCCUACGGGAGGCAGCAGUAGGGAAUCUUCCGCAAUGGGCGAAAGCUUGACGGAGCAACGACGCGUGAGUGAUGAAGGUCUUCGGAUCGUAAAACUCUGUUAUUAGGGAAGAACAUAUGUGUAAGUAACUGUGCACAUCUUGACGGUACCUAAUCAGAAAGCCACGGCUAACUACGUG